This 468-nucleotide ribosomal RNA is filed under the name uncultured bacterium. Its description in RNAcentral is "partial 16S ribosomal RNA". It matches the Rfam family "Bacterial small subunit ribosomal RNA", at positions 28 to 507 of the family's 1533-position model. The record is from RNAcentral.
GACGAACGCUGGCGGCGUGCUUAACACAUGCAAGUCGAACGGAAAGGCCCUGCUUUUGUGGGGUGCUCGAGUGGCGAACGGGUGAGUAACACGCGAGUAACCUGUCCUUGACUUUGGGGUAACUUCAGGAAACUGGGGCUAAUACCGGAUAGGAGCUUCUGCUGCACGGUGGGGGUUGGAAAGUUUCGGCGGUUGGGGAUGGACUCGCGGCUUAUCGGCUUGUUGGGGGGGUAGUGGCUUACCAAGGCUUUGACGGGUAGCCGGCCUGGGAGGGUGACCGGCCACAUUGGGACUGAGGUACGGCCCAGACUCCUACGGGAGGCAGCAGUGGGGAAUAUUGCACAAUGGGCGGAAGCCUGAUGCAGCAACGCCGCGUGCGGGAUGACGGCCUUCGGGUUGUAAACCGCUUUCGCCUGUGACGAAGCGUGAGUGACGGUAAUGGGUAAAGAAGCACCGGCUAACUACGUG